UGGGGAAUAUUGCACAAUGGGCGCAAGCCUGAUGCAGCCAUGCCGCGUGUAUGAAGAAGGCCUUCGGGUUGUAAAGUACUUUCAGCGGGGAGGAAGGCGAUAAGGUUAAUAACCUUGUCGAUUGACGUUACCCGCAGAAGAAGCACCGGCUAACUCCGUGCCAGCAGCCGCGGUAAUACGGAGGGUGCAAGCGUUAAUCGGAAUUACUGGGCGUAAAGCGCACGCAGGCGGUCUGUCAAGUCGGAUGUGAAAUCCGCGGGCUCAACCUGGGAACUGCAUUCGAAACUGGCAGGCUAGAGUCUUGUAGAGGGGGGUAUAAUUCCAGGUGUAGCGGUGAAAUGCGUAGAGAUCUGGAGGAAUACCGGUGGCGAAGGCGUCCCCCUGGACAAAGACUGACGCUCAGGUGCGAAAGCGUGGGGAGCAAACA
This 427-nucleotide ribosomal RNA is filed under the name uncultured bacterium. Its description in RNAcentral is "partial 16S ribosomal RNA". It matches the Rfam family "Bacterial small subunit ribosomal RNA", at positions 355 to 774 of the family's 1533-position model. The record is from RNAcentral.